UUCUGGUUGAUCCUGCCGGAGGCUACCGCUAUUGGAGUUCGAUUAAGCCAUGCGAGUCGAGAGUCUUAGGGACUCGGCGUACCGCUCAGUAACACGUGGGUAACCUGCCCUAUGCUGGGGAAUAACCUCGGGAAACUGAGAAUAAUACCCCAUAGUUCACCACGCCUGGAACGGUGGGUGGAUGAAAGCUCCGGCGGCAUAGGAUGGGCCUGCGACGUAUCAGGUUGUAGGGGGUGUAACGUACCCUCUAGCCAUCAACGCGUACGGGUGUUGGGAGACAUAGCCCGGAGAUGGAUUCUGAGACACGAAUCCAGACCCUACGGGGUGCAGCAGGCGCGAAAACUUGGCAAUGCGAGCAAUCGUGACCAGGGAACUCCAAGUGGCUGGGGUAAUACCCAGUUUUUUCUUGACUCUUCAAAGGUCUUGGAAUAAGGGGUGGGUAAGGACGGUGCCAGCCGCCGCGGUAAUACCGGCGCCUCAAGUGGUAGUCGCUUUUAUUGGGCCUAAAACGUCCGUAGCCGGUCUGGUGCAUUCGUGGGUAAAUCAACCCGCUCAACGGGUUGAAUUCUGCGAGCACGGCCAGACUUGGGACCGGGAGAGGUGUGGGGUACUCUCAGGGUAGGGGUAAAAUCCUGUCAUCCUGAGAGGACCACCUGUUGCGAAGGCGCCACACUAGAACGGAUUCGACGGUCAGGGACGAAACCUAGGGGCACGAACCGGAUUAGAUACCCGGGUAGUCCUAGGUGUAAACGCUGUGGACUUGAU
This 765-nucleotide ribosomal RNA is filed under the name uncultured Candidatus Poseidoniales archaeon. RNAcentral describes it as "bacterial SSU rRNA". It matches the Rfam family "Archaeal small subunit ribosomal RNA", at positions 1 to 772 of the family's 1478-position model. The record is from RNAcentral. Lineage: Archaea; Methanobacteriati; Thermoplasmatota; Candidatus Poseidoniia; Candidatus Poseidoniales.